CAGAGAUGCACUGCUAGAGCCUGGAGAGAUCAAUAACAUAAGGCAUAUUCUCUGAAUGUCCUUGGCCUAUAUAAAUAGGUUCUUACUCAUAGGCUAUUCAUCUGCCCGAUUCCCCACUGCAGAAUUUACCAUGGGGCAAAGAUUCGGCUGAGAAUCGCUUCUGGGAUUUCAUCUCAACACACAUGAAAUGCCUGCCCAGCCAACCACUAACCACAGAAGUGACCCACCUCAUUCAGUGACAGGCAUUUUGUUCAACAGGAACAGAAACCAUUGGAACCAGAAUAGCAGGAUGUCACAUGAUGACUAGGAUUAAUGGUGACGCAACCAGCAUCAUAUUUCAUUGGAUAUGAUUGCAGGUGCAGUUAUUGUUCUGUAGUGACUUCAAAAAC
This is a long non-coding RNA of Hyla sarda, 389 nucleotides long. RefSeq lists it as uncharacterized. The record is from RefSeq and is a predicted model, not a curated record. Lineage: Eukaryota; Metazoa; Chordata; Amphibia; Anura; Hylidae. The transcript is spliced from 3 exons.